CGCGUAGGUGGUAGUGUAAGUCUGGGGUGGAAUGCCGGGGCUUAACCCUGGAAUUGCCUUGGAAACUGCAUUACUUGAGUCAGUGAGGGGAGGGUAGAAUUCCUGGUGUAGUGGUGAAAUGCGUAGAUAUCAGGAGGAAGGCCUGUGGCGAAGGCGGCCCUCUGGUGCUGGACUGACACUGAGGCGCGAAAGCGUGGGGAGCAAACAGGAUUAGAUACCCUGGUAGUCCACGCCCUAAACGGUGGGCACUAGGUGUAGGGCUCGUAAGGGUUCUGUGCCGAAGGGAAACCAUUAAGUGCCCCGCCUGGGGAGUACGGCCGCAAGGUUGAA
RNAcentral lists this ribosomal RNA (330 nucleotides) under uncultured bacterium. RNAcentral's name for it is "bacterial SSU rRNA". It matches the Rfam family "Bacterial small subunit ribosomal RNA", at positions 568 to 898 of the family's 1533-position model. The record is from RNAcentral.